GCUCUCAUAGUUCAACGGAUAGAAUACAACGUUGCGGUCGUUGAGAUCAGGGUUCAAUUCCUUGUGGGAGCA
Molecule: transfer RNA, 72 nt
Filed under: Nanobdellota archaeon
Lineage: Archaea; Nanobdellati; Nanobdellota
Description: tRNA-Arg
Rfam family: tRNA
About the family: Transfer RNA (tRNA) molecules are approximately 80 nucleotides in length. Their secondary structure includes four short double-helical elements and three loops (D, anti-codon, and T loops).
Source: RNAcentral